UAUCCUGUCUGAAUAUGGGGGGACCAUCCUCCAAGGCUAAAUACUCCUGACUGACCGAUAGUGAACCAGUACCGUGAGGGAAAGGCGAAAAGAACCCCGGCGAGGGGAGUGAAAAAGAACCUGAAAUCGUGUACGUACAAGCAGUGGGAGCACAGGUUUACCUGUGUGACUGCGUACCUUUUGUAUAAUGGGUCAGCGACUUAUAUUCUGUAGCAAGGUUAACCGAAUAGGGGAGCCGGAGGGAAACCGAGUCUUAAUUGGGCGUUAAGUUGCAGGGUAUAGACCCGAAACCCGGUGAUCUAGCCAUGGGCAGGUUGAAGGUUGGGUAACACUAACUGGAGGACCGAACCGACUAAUGUUGAAAAAUUAGCGGAUGACCUGUGGCUGGGGGUGAAAGGCCAAUCAAACCGGGAGAUAGCUGGUUCUCCCCGAAAGCUAUUUAGGUAGCGCCUCGUGAAUUCAUCUCCGGGGGUAGAGCACUGUUUCGGCUAGGGGGCCAUCCCGGCUUACCAACCCGAUGCAAACUGCGAAUACCGGAGAAUGUUAUCACGGGAGACACACGGCGGGUGCUAACGUCCGUCGUGAAGAGGGAAACAACCCAGACCGCCAGCUAAGGUCCCAAAGUCAUGGUUAAGUGGGAAACGAUGUGGGAAGGCCCAGACAGCCAGGAUGUUGGCUUAGAAGCAGCCAUCAUUUAAAGAAAGCGUAAUAGCUCACUGGUCGAGUCGGCCUGCGCGGAAGAUGUAACGGGGCUAAACCAU
RNAcentral lists this ribosomal RNA (761 nucleotides) under Salmonella enterica subsp. enterica serovar Dublin. Its description in RNAcentral is "partial 23S ribosomal RNA". It matches the Rfam family "Bacterial large subunit ribosomal RNA", at positions 430 to 1190 of the family's 2925-position model. Lineage: Bacteria; Pseudomonadati; Pseudomonadota; Gammaproteobacteria; Enterobacterales; Enterobacteriaceae. The record is from RNAcentral.